This 272-nucleotide ribosomal RNA is filed under the name Klebsiella pneumoniae. Its description in RNAcentral is "partial 16S ribosomal RNA". It matches the Rfam family "Bacterial small subunit ribosomal RNA", at positions 1262 to 1533 of the family's 1533-position model. The record is from RNAcentral. Lineage: Bacteria; Pseudomonadati; Pseudomonadota; Gammaproteobacteria; Enterobacterales; Enterobacteriaceae.
AGCAAGCGGACCUCAUAAAGUAUGUCGUAGUCCGGAUUGGAGUCUGCAACUCGACUCCAUGAAGUCGGAAUCGCUAGUAAUCGUAGAUCAGAAUGCUACGGUGAAUACGUUCCCGGGCCUUGUACACACCGCCCGUCACACCAUGGGAGUGGGUUGCAAAAGAAGUAGGUAGCUUAACCUUCGGGAGGGCGCUUACCACUUUGUGAUUCAUGACUGGGGUGAAGUCGUAACAAGGUAACCGUAGGGGAACCUGCGGUUGGAUCACCUCCUUA